CGCAUGCUCUCGUAGGCAUGUUAAGAAUUUUGGAUUUUAUCCUUAGAACAAUGAGAACCUUCUGAAGGUUUUAAGCACCAGUGUAGCUGGAGGGUGGAGGGUGGGGCGGGGGGUGGAGAAGAAAUUGGAGGAAGAGCAUGUGGAGAAUAUAUGAGACUAGUGUUCAGAACCGUUUGGACCUGGAGACGAAGACAGAGAACUAACUGGCCGGGAGAAAGAAGGUCUAACCCAGGGCCUGGCUGAGAUUCCGCUGGCAAAGACUGGGCAGAGACAGGACUCUUGUGAGAUAGAGUGCAAUCAGCAACGAAAGCUGAGGGGAGAGAGCCAGGGGCCUGGGAAACCAUCAGGAAGUUAUCAUCUUCGAUGAGAAGCAAGAUCACUUCCCUUUAGAAAUACCCAAGGCCCAAUUAAAGCAAAUCUACCUACUCGCAAAGAAGUAUUCAAACUGAAUCCCCGCAAAGAACAGAACAGCCUGGUUUUAAAAAAAGAGAACCUAAGGGAAGAGAGUCUUCUUUGCCAAGUAAACUCUCCGCCUCAGCCUGGGCCCCGCUGGUUACAGAAAUGACAUUAGACACACACACAAUGGUAAUACCACUCAAGAACGGCUGCAUUUAAUACCUGUCUCCACGGAGCUCAAAUUCACUUUUACGGCCUGUUUGUGGGCAAGAAGGAGGAUUCGAGCGAUGGUUACUUCCUCUAAGAGCUUUUCUAUUGCUUCACGCCCCAAAUUAACAGGCUCCAUACAGCCUCCCUCCCAGCGCCCCAGGACCCACUAAACAGACAAAGACCACACUGACUCCAGCCCAGCGUCUCCAGCACUGCAGGCAGUGUGUUGCCAGUAGUGGUGCAGCAUGCAGGAUCUGAGUUCCCUUACCAGGGAUCAAACCCAUACCAUCUGCAGUGGAAGGAUGGAACUGUAACCACCAGACCACCAGGGAAUUCCCUGAUUGUUCUACGUUGAUAAAACUCAUGUUAUUGAGAAGAAAGAAAAAAAAAAGAACUUUGUUGUUGUCUACUCUUCAUGCUUCUGGAAUACCCUGCUCACUCCCACCUUCCUUCCCCCUCUCCCAACAAGGGAUGGGAACUCUGUUUGCAUAUUUUAUUAUUAUUUCACGUCAUUGGAAUGAGAGUCUCAGCAAACACACUUUCUCUUGUGGAAUUCCCUAAUAAAAACAGACAGCUUGUUUUGAACAAGCAGCCUCUGGAACAGGAGAAGCAGCAGAAGCUGGUGCAGGAGCUGACUGGGUUUUUCCUCUUGCCUCACAGAUGUCUUUAUCAUCUGAAUAUACACUCCCAGCCCCCAGGGCCAUGAGAGAACUUACAAAGCAAGUUUUCAAAAAUAUUUAUUAUUUAUUUGGCUAUGCUGGGUCUUAGUUGUGGCAUGUGGGAUCUAGUUCCCUGACCAGUGAUUGAACCCGAGUCCCCUGCAUUGGGAGCAUGGAGUCUUAGCCACAGGACCAUUAGGGAAGUCCGUAUAAAGCAAUUUUGGAUUCUUUGAAAUAGAGGGACUUAAUUUGUCACAUGGUUUUGACAAUUUCUUGCUUCAAGUACCAUUUCCUACAACAGGAUAGCAUCAAUUUGUGCAGAGUCCUACAUGGACCUGAAAUUUAACUGAGAAAGGCACCCAGUCCUGACGACUCUUGUUAACCAGCAGUGUUCUCGUGGCUACCAGCUUGCAGAGAAACCCAAGGACAUGCCAGAUUUACCUCCUCCCGGAGGAAGUGGUUGAGAAAUCCAUCUUCUUUUCAUUAUGAUGAGGGAAUGAGAAACAUGCCGUCCUGAAGAAGUACUAGGGGGACUUCUGUGUCUCCCCAGCACCAUCCCGAGGGCAAGGUGAACACAGCAGUGAUCGACGGCAGUGGUGGAGACCUGCUGUCAGCUUAUCUGUCUACCAGCUCCUGUGAAAGCAAGCCAAAGAACAAGCCAUAAGUCUACGAGCCAUUCAUGAACUCCUUUCUGCUUUGAAAAUGUAGUUCAUGCUUUCUAACUGUCAUUAUUAUGACAUGGAUGAGGCUUCCCUCAUAGCUCAGUCAGUAAAGAAUCUGCCUGCAGUGCAGGAGACCGGGGUUUGAUUCCUAGGUUGGGAAGAUCCCCUGGAGAAGGAAAUGGCAGCCCACUCCAGUAUUCUUGCCUGGAGAAUCCCAUAGACAGAGGAGUCUGGCAGGCUACAGUCCAUGGGGUCGCAGGAGUUGGACACGACUUAGAGACUAAACCAUCAACCGUGACAUGAAUGCUCAUUGAAUACUGGCUCUUGAUGAUUACAAUGACCUUGUCCUUGGGCAUACUGGAAGCAGGACAUGGCCUUCCUCCUUCCAUCCUCAUCUCUUCCCAGUCCCAGAAAUCACACAAUCAAUAACGGUCAUCUGUUGCUAAGAACUUAAGCUGUGAACUUUCUUGGGAGAUAUUUGUACUUUAAUUGUAAACCUAAUAAUGCCUUCGAGAAGCAGAGGAAUGAUGCUACCCAAUGGAUCACAGACACUCAUAGAAGCAAGGAGGCAAUCUGACUGAGGAGACCUCUCUGGAGCUCUUCAAUGCUCCCAACAGGUCCACCCUGAUGGUACACAUUUAUAUGAGAAAACACUGUAGCUGUCACUAAUUCCUUUCCUGUUGACACCUUGACCUGAGCUGUUAUUUAACUGCAAAGUACACUUGGUGGUAAACUGUAUAUAUUUCCUCAGUUGCUGUGAAUUCUGACUCAAGCUAAUUCAGGCUAGCUUAAUGAAACAAGAACCAGGAAAGCAAAAGCUUUCUGGCAGUUGCCUUGUGUACUGAUGUAGAGCUUGGGCCUCCCUGGUGGCUCAGCUGGUAAAGAAUCCGCUUGCAAUGCGGGAGACCUGGGUUUGAUCCCUGGCUUGGGAAGAUCCCCUGGAGAAGGGAAAGGCUACCCACUCCAGCAUUCUGGCCUGGAGAAUUCCAUGGACUGUGUAGUCCAUGGGGUCGUAAAGAGAUGCCCACGACUAAGUGACUUUCACUUUCACAGAGGGCAACUGAUGCAAUAUGAACUCAGGGAAUUCCCACAUGGAGAGAAGCAGAUGAGGGCUGCCCAGAUGUAAAGGGAACAUGAAAGGGACAAGGCCCGACGGUCAGAGGGCAGAACCUCACCCAGCACCGCACAUCCUCCCUUCAUCCCAGCUCAGCCCAGGAAAGGCUGUCUCUGCUCAGUGCUUGGGGCUGGCCUUCAGGCCACCAGACAUGCUUCUCAUUCUACAGUUUCCUUCGGAACUGCCCCCAAAUCAACAGUCUCAUCCUUGACUUAGGCUUCAGAAUAUAAAGGAACGGCUUAUACUAGACCAGCCCUUGUGAUGGCCAAAAAAAAAAAAAUAAAGCUAGCAGGAUAUCCAGAUGAAACUUUAUGCACACACACUCAUAUGCUUCAGUUCAGUCGCUCAGUUGUCUCCGACUCUUUGCGACCCCAUGAAUCGCAGCACACCAGGCCUCCCUGUCC
This is a long non-coding RNA of Bos taurus (domestic cattle), 3445 nucleotides long. The record is from Ensembl. Lineage: Eukaryota; Metazoa; Chordata; Mammalia; Artiodactyla; Bovidae.